CAGUAGCCGCGGUAAAACAGAGGGUGCGAGCGUUAAUCGGAUUUACUGGGCGUAAAGCGUGCGUAGGCGGCUAAUUGAGUCGGAUGUGAAAUCCCCGAGCUUAACUUGGGAAUUGCAUUCGAUACUGGUUAGCUAGAGUGUGGGAGAGGAUGGUAGAAUUCCAGGUGUAGCGGUGAAAUGCGUAGAGAUCUGGAGGAAUACCGAUGGCGAAGGCAGCCAUCUGGCCUAACACUGACGCUGAGGUACGAAAGCAUGGGGAGCAAACAGGAUUAGAUACCCCUGUAGUCCCUGUCUCUUAUAC
RNAcentral lists this ribosomal RNA (301 nucleotides) under uncultured bacterium. Its description in RNAcentral is "partial 16S ribosomal RNA". It matches the Rfam family "Bacterial small subunit ribosomal RNA", at positions 509 to 807 of the family's 1533-position model. The record is from RNAcentral.